Small nucleolar RNA from Doryrhamphus excisus (bluestripe pipefish), 83 nucleotides. RefSeq annotates it as small nucleolar RNA SNORD100. NCBI's taxonomy places the organism in Eukaryota, Metazoa, Chordata, Actinopteri, Syngnathiformes, Syngnathidae. The record is from RefSeq and is a predicted model, not a curated record.
AGAAUCGAUGAUGAUACCUUGGCUCCCUCUUCUGAACGCCCUGAGGAUAUUGCCACUGUUACCCAAUUCUUGUCUGAGAUGCU